CAGUCGCCACGGUAACACGAGGGGGGCAAGCGUUGUUCGGAAUUAUUGGGCGUAAAGGGUGCGUAGGCGGCUUGACAAGUCUUGUGUGAAAUCUAUGGGCUCAAUCCAUAGUCUGCACGGGAAACUGUCGGGCUUGAGAAUGGGAGAGGUGAGUGGAAUUUCCGGUGUAGCGGUGAAAUGCGUAGAUAUCGGAAGGAACACCUGUGGCGAAAGCGGCUCACUGGACCAUUUCUGACGCUGAUGCACGAAAGCUAGGGGAGCAAACAGGAUUAGAUACCCCCGUAGUCCCUGUCUCUUAUAC
RNAcentral lists this ribosomal RNA (301 nucleotides) under uncultured bacterium. RNAcentral describes it as "partial 16S ribosomal RNA". It matches the Rfam family "Bacterial small subunit ribosomal RNA", at positions 509 to 807 of the family's 1533-position model. The record is from RNAcentral.